RNAcentral lists this ribosomal RNA (399 nucleotides) under uncultured Lachnospiraceae bacterium. RNAcentral describes it as "bacterial SSU rRNA". It matches the Rfam family "Bacterial small subunit ribosomal RNA", at positions 358 to 774 of the family's 1533-position model. Lineage: Bacteria; Bacillati; Bacillota; Clostridia; Lachnospirales; Lachnospiraceae. The record is from RNAcentral.
GGGAUAUUGCACAAUGGGGGAAACCCUGAUGCAGCGACGCCGCGUGAGUGAAGAAGUAUUUCGGUAUGUAAAGCUCUAUCAGCGGGGAAGAAAAUGACGGUACCUGACUAAGAAGCUCCGGCUAAAUACGUGCCAGCAGCCGCGGUAAUACGUAUGGAGCAAGCGUUAUCCGGAUUUACUGGGUGUAAAGGGAGCGUAGACGGCAUGGCAAGUCUGAUGUGAAAGGUGCGGGCUCAACCCACAAACUGCAUUGGAAACUGUCUAGCUAGAGUGUCGGAGAGGUAAGUGGAAUUCCUAGUGUAGCGGUGAAAUGCGUAGAUAUUAGGAGGAACACCAGCGGCGAAGGCGGCUUACUGGACGAUAACUGACGUUGAGGCUCGAAAGCGUGGGGAGCAAACA